Non-coding RNA from Dermacentor albipictus, 2391 nucleotides. The record is from RefSeq and is a predicted model, not a curated record. Lineage: Eukaryota; Metazoa; Arthropoda; Arachnida; Ixodida; Ixodidae.
UUGUUGUGCCCCACUCCCUUAACGGGCGGCGCUUUCGCUCUCAUCGCUUCGGCCGCCAUCCGCUUCGUCUGCUCCUGACGGUUUCCGUGGACGUGCGCGUUUUUUCGUUUGCUUUGUAGUUGAAAACUUUCUUUCUGUGCCUGCGAACGUUCCAGCCAUGUCGGAAAAAUUGAGGAAACGGCACAAGACGUGAUGCGCGGGUGUAUGGCAUGGCCACUCGAUGAUCAACAGCAGGGCGAAAUUUUUCCGUUUGCCAGCGGAUGAAAGAUGUGACAUAUGGCGAAAUUACGCCAAAUGGGGAGUCCUGGCGAUGCUGAGAUGUACAUACCACGGCUACCGCCUCUGCUCGAUCGGGCCACUUCACAGAAAACCAGGGUCCUCGCCGACCCUGCCAUACGAGGCUGUUGUGGUAGGCUAUGCCGACUGUUGCAGUGGGAGAGCGGUCCCUGAUCGAUGAAGGUUCUACACCGCCGCAGCGAGACCAAAAGCGAAAAAUAUACUCACCAGAGACUGCAGGCGUCAUCAACCAACUGAGAAAGGAUACAUAAAGGUAUCGAAAGUCAGCGAAGUUGAAGAGCUGCUGAAAGAUUACCAUGAGAGGAGCACUAGAGAAGUUUAUUUAUCAUGUGAGCCCAGAGUCUACCAAGUCUUGCAGUGGCAGGUGACACUCCAUUAUUGCAGAAGGAAGAGAAGAACAUGGCGAAACGUUUUCUAGAGUGUAUUGGUGUGGUUGCGCAAUAAUUUUGUGGUGUGUCCACUGUACUGAGUGAUAAGCUAAAUAACAGACUACUAAAAGAAAUCUUUUGCUCUAAUAAGUGUCACAUAGACUUGCUGCAGCAGUUCCGCUAUGCGUAGCUUAUACUGUGCAUAGAUGACAUCAAUCCGGAUCUUAGAAAACAGCAUGAGAGAAAGUUCACAGCAAAAGGAAAGCUCCAGGAGCUUGAAAGCUAGGAUACAGUUUCUUACUGGUGUUUUAUUCUCUUUGCAAUUCCAAUAGUUCUUAAGGUAGUCGCCUGAUUAGCCUAGCUUUACAAAUAUUUUGGCGUAUUUCAAAAUUUACAUAAUGUCAUGCAGCGUAUUCAUUGUGCAGACAAUCAUUGCUCCCACACCUGCAGCCGCCUCUUUAAACAUCAUUACAUAGCUACCAUACAUGGAUCUUUGGAUGCUGGAAUCUUCUUGACCUUGCUUCAGUAAAGUAGUGCAAGUACUAAUGUUGCUCAACACUCUUCACUUCAGUGGUUUCAUUAAUAUGGCAAAAGUGGGAGGGGGCGGGUUGAAGCACAGGAAGCAUGCUGUGCCAGAAACGAGUGUUCUAGAAAAGUUGAACUGCCUUGACCUCCUUAUUGUGUCGACACCGAAAUUCCCAUGAUGGAUGACCCCUAGCCAAUGAUGAAACUCGUAACGCAGCUCUAAGACCUGUUCUGUGCUUCAAACAAGUCUCACGAAACUGUGCCUAUAGGCUCUAUUAAAGAAAGCGCAUAAUGUACAUUAAGCGUAUUAUAGGAAGGUCUUGAAAACCAUUCUAUAAAGAUAAUUGUUCUGAGCAGGUCGCUCUGAUGCAUUGAAUGCAGAAGAUUUGCAUUGCUUUUAAAAGAUAUUUCUCAAUGUCCCAAAGCUAUGCGUUCAAUAAUACCGUUGUGCAUCACUCUGUCCUUGCCCAACCUCUACUGCCAAUCAACCGCCAAUUGACACAUGCUUCUCCUGCAUUUACUUUUUCUUAACAAAAAAUCUUGGUGCUAUUUGUUGUUAUUGUCUUGGAACUGUUCCACUUAUGCCUAGACGAUGAUAGAACAAACGAAGUGCAUUAGAAACUUUAAGAAACACGUGCAAUAUGCUUGCAAGGAAUUUCAUAUUGAUACCUAGUUUGCAAUGUUACUGAUUUAGUGAAGCUCUGGUGGUCUUACAUGUAGUAUUGCGAAACAAAACCACAUAUGAAAAAAAAAUACUAUAGACAUUUUCAGUAUAAUUAGCUGAAUAUUUAAUGGUACAUUAGCCCAAUGAGAGCUAUGCAGGAAAUUGACUAGGUAUAGCAUACAUUUUGGACUAGCAAAUAUACCAGUUGUAUGGAACAAAAAAAAAGGAAGCUUUUUUUCUGGUAUGCGAAAAAUGUUAAUCUGCUCCUCUUGAUAAUCUUCUUAUUCAUGCAUAACUGUUGCAACAAGAAUUGCUUUGGUAGAGUUGUGUUGUGCACAGCAAACAAACAUGGCCUCUGUAGCAAUCUUCUGUUUAUGAGAAAUUGUAGGAAGCUGUCUUUUGUAUGUAUGAUCGUAAUACAGAAUGUGCGCAUUUGUACUGACUAAAGAGAUACUCAGCUCAUACAAUUGUGCUGUAAAUUGAAUCCCUUGCUGUGCGAUAGGUUGCUAACAAAAACAGUUAAUAAACCAGUUUUCU